UACCACCAAUGCGGGCAAACGUGAGCGACUGGACAACAGGAGAUUAUAAUUAUAAUUUGCGGGGUGGAAAAAGCAACAGACGGGAGUGUAGCCCUGCAGAUAAGUCUGGUGACAGGCCAGCGGACGAACGAUAAAGGGACAACACAAGAGACAGCUUUGGAUGCUUGCUAAGGCGCUCGCAUGCGAUCCCGCACAGCAGAGAGGCGAGAUGCGAGAGCCAGUCAGUUCCAGAGGGCGCAGGAAGCUGUCGAGGCGAUACGACGGCGAUGAAUCAUCCCCAACCCAGAAGGUUGAACUAGCUGCAGACCAGACAGAGACGGGCGCAGACCACCCAACGACCCGAGCCUGGUGGCGAA
Molecule: small RNA, 356 nt
Filed under: Histoplasma capsulatum var. duboisii H88
Lineage: Eukaryota; Fungi; Ascomycota; Eurotiomycetes; Onygenales; Ajellomycetaceae
Description: Histoplasma capsulatum H88 hypothetical RNA
Source: RNAcentral